Molecule: long non-coding RNA, 174 nt
Organism: Coregonus clupeaformis (lake whitefish)
Lineage: Eukaryota; Metazoa; Chordata; Actinopteri; Salmoniformes; Salmonidae
Exons: 3
Source: RefSeq, a predicted model, not a curated record
CUGGUGAGAGAGCUGGCAGUGUUAAACACACAGAUUUGCGAGAUUGAGCAGCACAUUUCCAUCUCUCGUGCUGGCAUGAUGGUAUUGGAUGAACUGUCCUCUCAGCUUGAAGAGGUAGCCAUUCAUCUGCAGUACGUGGAUGAGGAGGUUCGGCAGCAGCCCUGUCUGGCUUUA